This 93-nucleotide transfer RNA is filed under the name Felis catus (domestic cat). It matches the Rfam family "tRNA". From Rfam's summary of the family: Transfer RNA (tRNA) molecules are approximately 80 nucleotides in length. Their secondary structure includes four short double-helical elements and three loops (D, anti-codon, and T loops). Lineage: Eukaryota; Metazoa; Chordata; Mammalia; Carnivora; Felidae. The record is from Rfam by way of RNAcentral.
GCUUGGGUGGCUCAGUCGGUUGAGCGUCUGACUCUCAGUUUCGGCUCAGGUCAUGAUCUCACCAGUUUGUGGGUUCGAGCCCCACCUCAGGCU